This is a long non-coding RNA of Biomphalaria glabrata, 1294 nucleotides long. RefSeq lists it as uncharacterized. The transcript has 2 exons. Lineage: Eukaryota; Metazoa; Mollusca; Gastropoda; Planorbidae. The record is from RefSeq and is a predicted model, not a curated record.
UAAUAAUACAUCAUCCUUACAGUUUGUUGAAUCGAUCAGUCGUUUUGUGUUGAACAUUGAACAUCAAGCUAAUUGGAUGACAUCAGCGAUGUACACAUGAAAUAAAGGAAGUAUCAGUGGCUGUCGGUGUUAAGGAAUUUACUCUUAAGUUAUAAGAUACAAGCAAAUACUUUGCCUUCACACAUGACGAUUUAUCAUUCCAUACGACGUAUCACAAAUCGGGACAUUAUUUUCUCUGAGGAAAUUGACGAAGUAAAACUAAGAUUGAAACGAGAAAUAAAAUAUCUGGCUGGGGUUUUCCCGAAAUAGUAAAUUACGUCAUCCUGCCCUCAAGGAGAUGUCAAUUCCGACAAGAAAUGUGUUAAAACUGAUAAUAGAAUUGUGGGAUUGCAAAGAAUACUGAAGUAGGGGCAGAUCGUACAGUGAAACGAAGCAUGUUAGGGUUUUUUGAAGAACAGCCCUACCCUUGGAUAGAGCUUGCCAAAGGUGUGGUCAUCAUUCUCGUGGUCCUGUAUUUAUUCUACACCUGCAAGGAAAAUGACGAUGUGGUCACCUACGCCUUUCGGGUGGCCGUAGACGCAACUGGAUCGGCCUUGAACUUUGUCUUCGGGUCUUUUGAGAACUUGGUCCACAUGGCUCUGAGCAACUACCGCCUUCCGCUUGUGAUCGCCAUCUUGACCUGGUGGAUGUUCCCAGAGAUCAUCGACGACUUCCUGUUCCUCGUCUACCUGGGAUACCAGCGUUAUAAGAACCUGCUCUUCUCCUGACCUAGUCAGAUAACACACAGUCUACGCCUAUUACCUACUUUAAACAUACCCGGUGUUUACAGGUUGGUGGAUUGAUAAGGGACAAAAAAAGACAUGAAUUGAAAGUUGCUGUAGCUGGACGCGUGAAGAUAUAUAGAGGAUGAACGACUUACCUUUGAGUAUGCAAACUAAGUCUACAUAUGUUUGAUAUCAAUGAGCAAGUAAAUAAGGAGCCACUUGGUGCAAUUUAAGUCUUGGAGAAUCUGAACAUUGUGCUAAAAAUAGAACGAUGUCUAGGCAAACAUCGCAAUCAAGAGAAGUCUGAGAUAAUUGAUCUGAAGUCGAAAUAUUCAAGAACAGGUCGAUCUGUUUCGAUACAAAGAAAGGAUUGGCUGAUAAACAAGACGAAAUACCUAUAAAGAAAAAUAGCCAAAGUAUUAAGAAAAAUCGACUACAUCCUAUAAAUUUCGACUAUUUAAACAAAUGUUGAUUGUAUCUCAGCUUAGAGUAUUGAUUCUGUCAAUAAAAGUGAACUACAUCCCAUCAUA